Oryctolagus cuniculus (rabbit) is the source of this 2775-nucleotide non-coding RNA. The record is from RefSeq and is a predicted model, not a curated record. NCBI's taxonomy places the organism in Eukaryota, Metazoa, Chordata, Mammalia, Lagomorpha, Leporidae.
UAUUGGUGUUGUUUAGCAUUCGGUGAAGUUAGGUAUGGGUUGCAAUUUCUAUCUCACUUCCGGUGGUGAUGGUUCCAAUGUCAAUUCUGUUGACAAAAACUUUAAUAUGUUAUUUUGAGUGCCACUUGGGGAUUAUUCUGAUACCUGGUGACGUUUUAAAUUAAAGUUCAAUUUUCAAAGCUUUUGUUGUGCUCUUUUGGGUCUAUGUUGCACAACUACAGCUCGAGAGUAAAAUCAAAAGUUAUCCUGGUUCAUUCACAGAAUUGGAUGGGGUGCGGGUGGGAUCCUGUCUCCAAAUAUCUCCUCUCCAGGAUUUCCCUCACACUGUCUAGUUGGAAAGAGCAUGUUUCCUUGGCCGGCUGGUCCAAAAAAGGCUACUCCAUGUUGCAUAACUCCCACAACUGUGGCCACCUCAAGCAAACUGAGGAGAAAGCAAGAAAAUGGGACUCACUCUCUCAAUGCUUUCUUGGUUGCACAGAUUUUUUUUUUUUUUACCGAAUUUCUCAGGCCAGAAGGAGGAGGUUUCUAUUGGAACCUACUUUUCGGUUCACCAUGUGGAAUUCACCGGGAGUGCAUUCUUGUCUACCAUGAGAAUAAAAAGAAUAUGACAAUUUCCCAUAUAUUUUCCACUUCAUAGAGGCAUAGAUCUUACUCAAGGUUUAUCUCCAUGUUGUAGAUGCCCAUGAUGCUGUCAGUUGGAAGCCUGUCAUGGUUCAAAACCAUGAGAGAAAAAAUGUGUGUGUGAAAGAACUCCAACAUGGGUCAUUUUUCUAUAUCUUGACUUGCUUCCCAAUCUAACUGCUUUGUUUGUUUUUCAGAGUCCCCAGGCAGUUGUUUUUGUGUUUUGAAUAGGCAAUUCAGUUGUAGUCAGUGGGAGUGGUGUUCUAAAUUGUACUUGCUCCAUCAUGGCUGUACCAGGAAAUUCAGGAAGGAUCUUCUAAGGAAGGAGUAAAUUAAACACCAAGAGAAACACCAGUCCUCCAGUGGCUUUCCCCUUCAAUCCACACUGACUGACAAUCCACUGUUGUGGCUAUACCCAACAGCUUGUGGUUAUUCAGCUCUCUGUUAUUGCCUGGGAUAGCAGUAGAAGACGGCCCAAGGACUUGGGUCAGGGCCCCUGCACCCGCAUGGGAGACCCGGAAGAAGCUCCUGGCUCCUGGCUUCGGAUCAGCACAGCUCCGGCCGUUGCAGCCAACUGGGGAGUGAAUCAGCAGAUGGAAGACCUCUCUCUCUGUAUCUACCUCUCUCUUUAACUCUGUCUUUCAAAUAAAUAAAAUAAAUCUUAAAAAAAAAGUUCUAUAGCCACAGAGAAUGAGAAUGGGAGAACAGGCCGUGGAGAAGAAGAGAUUUUUUGAAAGAGAGAAAAAGGCACAAUCCCACCAAGGACAUGCAGGGAGCAGAUGACAAUCUUUUAAAAACCAUGAUUAAUAUAAGAGAUAUAAUAAAUAUAUGUAAUAAAACAAAAUGUUAUAUACAAUAAAAUAUAAGCUAAAAAAGCAACUCACCCAUCAAAUAGGGAACAAAAUGUCUUAUGAGAAAUGGAGAUGAGAUGGGUAUAAUAAAAUCAACAUUGGGGCCUGGCAUGUGGUGCAGUGGGUUAAGUCACUGCCUGUGACACCAGCAUCCCAUAUGGGUGCUGGUUUGUAUCAUGGUCACUCCACUUUCAAUCCAGCUCCCUGCUAACAUGCAUGGAAAAGCAUCAGAAGAUGGUCCAGGGUCUUGGUGGAUGGAAGAUUCUCUCUCUCUGUCUUUCUUUCUUUCUUUCUCUCUCUCUCCCUCUCAUCCUUUUUCCCCCUUUCUUUCUAUAACUCUUUUAAAUAAAUCAUUUUUUUUAAAAAAUUAAGAUUGUUUGAAAACCUAUAGACAGGAGUUAUUGUCCAAAUUCUCCAUUUCUUCCCUACAAUAUGAAUUCACUAAUUCCCUUUAUUAUCCCAGGAAAAAUAUCAGAAAUUUAGACACUGAGAAAAGCCGGUCAGAAAAAUCUGAGACUUGGGACACAACAACGAGUAAAGCUUGGAGCAGCAAUGGUGAGAUGUGUAGACUCCCACAGGAUCAGUGAUUCCCAGGGUUGUUUUAAGGAGGCCCGUAGUCAGGGUUUUCUUAGUGAGAUACCGAAACAGUUCUCCAGCAAAGUGAGGAAGCAAAUCAAGAUGGAACACACAAGAAGGGUGUCAGAACAGUUCCAUAACUAUUGGAAAGGGAAGUUCUAAGCAACAGCUUUUGCAGCAAGACCAGAAAGCAAAUGGGAGGAGAGCAAAGGGCUACUGGAAUGAGGUUUUCAAGCAAAGACAAUGGAAACACUAAGUGGUGUAUUUGACUGUACAAUAUAAGAGUGGGAAUAAGAGAGGGAGGAGAUGUACAAUUUGGGACACGCUCAAUCGGACUUGCCCCAAAUGGUAGAGUUAGAAAUGUGCCAAGGGAUUCCAAUUAAAUCCCAUCCAGGUGGCAUGUACCAAUGCCAUCUCACUAGUCAAAGUGAUCAGUUUCAGUUCACAAUUGAUUAUAAUGAUAGGAUUGAGAGUCAAAGGGAUCACAAAAAUAAGACUAGUGUCUGCUAAUAAUAACUGAGAGAAUUAAAAGGGAGAGAACGAUCCAACAUGGGAAGUGGGAUACACAGCAGACUCAUAGAAUGGCAGAUGUCCUAAACAGCACUCAGGCCUCAGAAUCAGCCCUUUAGGCAUUUGGAUAUGGCUGAAAAGCCCAUGAGAGUAUUUUAAGCAUGGAAAGCCAAGACACUCUGGCAAAAACAAAAACAAAAACAAAAACAAAAACAAA